This 1437-nucleotide ribosomal RNA is filed under the name Lactiplantibacillus plantarum. Its description in RNAcentral is "bacterial SSU rRNA". It matches the Rfam family "Bacterial small subunit ribosomal RNA". The record is from RNAcentral. Lineage: Bacteria; Bacillati; Bacillota; Bacilli; Lactobacillales; Lactobacillaceae.
AUACAUGCAGGUCGAACGAACUCUGGUAUUGAUUGGUGCUUGCAUCAUGAUUUACAUUUGAGUGAGUGGCGAACUGGUGAGUAACACGUGGGAAACCUGCCCAGAAGCGGGGGAUAACACCUGGAAACAGAUGCUAAUACCGCAUAACAACUUGGACCGCAUGGUCCGAGUUUGAAAGAUGGCUUCGGCUAUCACUUUUGGAUGGUCCCGCGGCGUAUUAGCUAGAUGGUGGGGUAACGGCUCACCAUGGCAAUGAUACGUAGCCGACCUGAGAGGGUAAUCGGCCACAUUGGGACUGAGACACGGCCCAAACUCCUACGGGAGGCAGCAGUAGGGAAUCUUCCACAAUGGACGAAAGUCUGAUGGAGCAACGCCGCGUGAGUGAAGAAGGGUUUCGGCUCGUAAAACUCUGUUGUUAAAGAAGAACAUAUCUGAGAGUAACUGUUCAGGUAUUGACGGUAUUUAACCAGAAAGCCACGGCUAACUACGUGCCAGCAGCCGCGGUAAUACGUAGGUGGCAAGCGUUGUCCGGAUUUAUUGGGCGUAAAGCGAGCGCAGGCGGUUUUUUAAGUCUGAUGUGAAAGCCUUCGGCUCAACCGAAGAAGUGCAUCGGAAACUGGGAAACUUGAGUGCAGAAGAGGACAGUGGAACUCCAUGUGUAGCGGUGAAAUGCGUAGAUAUAUGGAAGAACACCAGUGGCGAAGGCGGCUGUCUGGUCUGUAACUGACGCUGAGGCUCGAAAGUAUGGGUAGCAAACAGGAUUAGAUACCCUGGUAGUCCAUACCGUAAACGAUGAAUGCUAAGUGUUGGAGGGUUUCCGCCCUUCAGUGCUGCAGCUAACGCAUUAAGCAUUCCGCCUGGGGAGUACGGCCGCAAGGCUGAAACUCAAAGGAAUUGACGGGGGCCCGCACAAGCGGUGGAGCAUGUGGUUUAAUUCGAAGCUACGCGAAGAACCUUACCAGGUCUUGACAUACUAUGCAAAUCUAAGAGAUUAGACGUUCCCUUCGGGGACAUGGAUACAGGUGGUGCAUGGUUGUCGUCAGCUCGUGUCGUGAGAUGUUGGGUUAAGUCCCGCAACGAGCGCAACCCUUAUUAUCAGUUGCCAGCAUUAAGUUGGGCACUCUGGUGAGACUGCCGGUGACAAACCGGAGGAAGGUGGGGAUGACGUCAAAUCAUCAUGCCCCUUAUGACCUGGGCUACACACGUGCUACAAUGGAUGGUACAACGAGUUGCGAACUCGCGAGAGUAAGCUAAUCUCUUAAAGCCAUUCUCAGUUCGGAUUGUAGGCUGCAACUCGCCUACAUGAAGUCGGAAUCGCUAGUAAUCGCGGAUCAGCAUGCCGCGGUGAAUACGUUCCCGGGCCUUGUACACACCGCCCGUCACACCAUGAGAGUUUGUAACACCCAAAGUCGGUGGGGUAACCUUUUAGGAACCAGC